CCCUUAGAUGUCCGGGGCCGCACGCGCGCUACACUGCAGGAAUCAGCGUGGCUUUCUCCCUGACCCGAAAGGGUUGGGAAACCCGUUGAAUCUCCUUCGUGAUAGGGAUUGGGGCUUGAAAUUGUUCCCCAUGAACGAGGAAUUCCCAGUAAGCGCGAGUCAUAAGCUCGCGUUGAUUACGUCCCUGCCCUUUGUACACACCGCCCGUCGCUACUACCGAUUGAACGGUUUAGUGAGGGCCUCGGAUUGGUCUCGGCCCGCUCUUUACCGGGCGGCGCCGUUGGUCGAGAAGACGCUCGAACUUGAUCGUUUAGAGGAAGUAAAAGUCGUAACA
Molecule: ribosomal RNA, 334 nt
Filed under: uncultured eukaryote
Lineage: Eukaryota
Description: partial 18S ribosomal RNA
Rfam family: Eukaryotic small subunit ribosomal RNA
Source: RNAcentral